CAAGUCGAACGCGAAAGUCCCCUUCGGGGGACAAGUAGAGUGGCGUCCGGGUGAGUAACACGUAGGUAAUCUACCUUCGGGUGGGGAAUAACCCAGGGAAACUUGGGCUAAUACCGCAUAAUGCAGCGGCACCACAUGGUGACAGUUGUUAAAGCGGGGGAUCUUCGGAUCUCGCGCCUGAAGAGGAGCCUGCGGCAGAUUAGCUAGUUGGUAAGGUAACGGCUUACCAAGGCGACGAUCUGUAGCCGGCCUGAGAGGGCGGUCGGCCACACUGACACUGACAUACGGGUCAGACUCCUACGGGAGGCAGCAGUCGGGAAUUUUGGGCAAUGGGCGAAAGCCUGACCCAGCAACGCCGCGUGAAGGAUGAAAUCCCUCGGGAUGUAAACUUCGCAAGAAUAGGAAGAAUUAGUAGGGGUUAAUACCCUCUAUGAUGACGGUACUAUUUGUAAGCUCCGGCUAACUCCGUGCCAGCAGCCGCGGUAAUACGGGGGGAGCAAGCGUUGUUCGGAUUUACUGGGCGUAAAGGGCGCGUAGGCGGUCAGCACAAGUCAGUUGUGAAAUCUCCGGGCUUAACUCGGAAAGGUCAACUGAUACUGUGCGACUAGAGUGCAGAAGGGGCAACUGGAAUUCUCGGUGUAGCGGUGAAAUGCGUAGAUAUCGAGAGGAACACCUGCGGCGAAGGCGGGUUGCUGGGCUGACACUGACGCUGAUGCGCGAAAGCCAGGGGAGCGAACGGGAUUAGAUACCCCGGUAGUCCUGGCCUUAAACGAUGGAUGCUUGGUGUCUGGAGUUUUAUAGUCUCCGGGUGCCGUANCUAACGCGUUAAGCAUCCCGCCUGGGGAGUACGGUCGCAAGACUGAAACUCAAAGGAAUUGACGGGGACCCC
RNAcentral lists this ribosomal RNA (889 nucleotides) under uncultured Bacillota bacterium. RNAcentral's name for it is "bacterial SSU rRNA". It matches the Rfam family "Bacterial small subunit ribosomal RNA", at positions 58 to 923 of the family's 1533-position model. Lineage: Bacteria; Bacillati; Bacillota. The record is from RNAcentral.